This 189-nucleotide microRNA precursor is filed under the name Oryza rufipogon (brownbeard rice). RNAcentral describes it as "MIR812 microRNA precursor family". It matches the Rfam family "MIR812 microRNA precursor family". The record is from Rfam by way of RNAcentral. Lineage: Eukaryota; Viridiplantae; Streptophyta; Magnoliopsida; Poales; Poaceae.
AAAAAGUCAAACCCUGAAUUUCCGUGUCCAACUUUGACUGUCCAUUUUAUAUAAAAAUUUUUUAUAAUUCGUAUUUUCAUUGUUGUUAGAUGAUAAAACAUGAUUAAUAUUUUAUGCGUGACUUGUCUUUUUAAUUUUUUUAUAAUUUUUUCAAAUAAGACGGACGGUCAAACGUUAGACACGGAAACU